GACGAACGCUGGCGGCGUGCCUAAUACAUGCAAGUAGAACGCUGAAGACUUUAGCUUGCUAGAGUUGGAAGAGUUGCGAACGGGUGAGUAACGCGUAGGUAACCUGCCUAUUAGCGGGGGAUAACUAUUGGAAACGAUAGCUAAUACCGCAUAAUAGUGUUUAACACAUGUUAGAGACUUGAAAGAUGCAAUUGCAUCACUAGUAGAUGGACCUGCGUUGUAUUAGCUAGUUGGUGGGGUAACGGCCUACCAAGGCGACGAUACAUAGCCGACCUGAGAGGGUGAUCGGCCACACUGGGACUGAGACACGGCCCAG
Molecule: ribosomal RNA, 316 nt
Filed under: uncultured bacterium
Lineage: Bacteria
Description: bacterial SSU rRNA
Rfam family: Bacterial small subunit ribosomal RNA
Source: RNAcentral